GGUUGGUGAUACACGUUUACUCUCAAGGCGGUUAGCAGAUUGAACGGGGUUGUAAAACAGUGUAAGGUGACAUCGCAUUGAAAGAUUGAUAGACAUGUGGGAGCCGCAGGAGAGCGUCUAACUGCAGCUAUGCCACCUCUACUCUGGCCUCUGCUCUUCACUAUUCUCAGCGUCAAGUUUGAAGGUAAACUGUUUACUAUUUAUAUCUAAUAGAAACAGUGUUUUACAGCUCAAAGAAACG
Molecule: long non-coding RNA, 241 nt
Organism: Homalodisca vitripennis (glassy-winged sharpshooter)
Lineage: Eukaryota; Metazoa; Arthropoda; Insecta; Hemiptera; Cicadellidae
Exons: 3
Source: RefSeq, a predicted model, not a curated record